This 70-nucleotide transfer RNA is filed under the name Lemniscomys striatus (typical striped grass mouse). RNAcentral describes it as "tRNA-Val". The record is from RNAcentral. Lineage: Eukaryota; Metazoa; Chordata; Mammalia; Rodentia; Muridae.
CACAGUGUAGCUUAUUCUAAAGCAUCUGGCCUACACCCAGAAGAAUUCAUUAUAUACAUGAACACUUUGA